CCUACGGGGGGCAGCAGUGGGGAUUAUUGGACAAUGGGGGCAACCCUGAUCCAGCCAUGCCGCGUGUGUGAAGAAGGCCCUCGGGUUGUAAAGCACUUUCAGUGAGGAAGAACGCCUGGUGGUUAAUACCCAUCAGGAAAGACAUCACUCACAGAAGAAGCACCGGCUAACUCCGUGCCAGCAGCCGCGGUAAUACGGAGGGUGCGAGCGUUAAUCGGAAUUACUGGGCGUAAAGCGCGCGUAGGUGGCUUGAUAAGCCGGUUGUGAAAGCCCCGGGCUCAACCUGGGAACGGCAUCCGGAACUGUCAAGCUAGAGUGCAGGAGAGGAAGGUAGAAUUCCCGGUGUAGCGGUGAAAUGCGUAGAGAUCGGGAGGAAUACCAGUGGCGAAGGCGGCCUUCUGGACUGACACUGACACUGAGGUGCGAAAGCGUGGGUAGCAAACAGGAUUAGAUACCCGAGUAGUC
This 465-nucleotide ribosomal RNA is filed under the name Vreelandella stevensii. RNAcentral's name for it is "partial 16S ribosomal RNA". It matches the Rfam family "Bacterial small subunit ribosomal RNA", at positions 338 to 795 of the family's 1533-position model. Lineage: Bacteria; Pseudomonadati; Pseudomonadota; Gammaproteobacteria; Oceanospirillales; Halomonadaceae. The record is from RNAcentral.